GUAGCUAAUACCGAAUAAGGUCAAUUGAGGUGUUAAUUGAUGAAAGGAAGCCUUUAAAGCUUCGCUUGUAGAUGAGUCUGCGUCUUAUUAGCUAGUUGGUGGGAUAAGAGCCUACCAAGGCUAUGAUAAGUAACCGGCCUGAGAGGGUGAUCGGUCACACUGGAACUGAGAUACGGUCCAGACUCCUACGGGAGGCAGCAGCUAAGAAUCUUCCGCAAUGGGCGAAAGCCUGACGGAGCGACACUGCGUGAACGAAGAAGGUCGAAAGAUUGUAAAGUUCUUUUAUAAGUGAGGAAUAAGCUUUGUAGGAAAUGACAAAGUGAUGACGUUAAUUUAUGAAUAAGCCCCGGCUAAUUACGUGCCAGCAGCCGCGGUAAUACGUAAGGGGCGAGCGUUGUUCGGGAUCAUUGGGCGUAAAGGGUGAGUAGGCGGAUAUGCAAGUCUAUGUGUAAAAUACCACAGCUCAACUGUGGAACUAUGCUGGAAACUGCAUGACUAGAGUCUGAUAGGGGAAGUUAGAAUUCCUGGUGUAAGGGUGGAAUCUGUUGAUAUCAGGAAGAAUACCAGAGGCGAAGGCGAACUUCUAGGUCAAGACUGACGCUGAGUCACGAAAGCGUAGGGAGCAAACAGGAUUAGAUACCCUGGUAGUCUACGCUGUAAACGAUGCACACUUGGUGUUAAUCGAAAGGUUAGUACCGAAGCUAACGUGUUAAGUGUGCCGCCUGGGGAGUAUGUUCGCAAGAAUGAAACUCAAAGGAAUUGACGGGGGCCCGCACAAGCGGUGGAGCAUGUGGUUUAAUUCGAUGAUACGCGAGGAACCUUACCAGGGCUUGACAUAUACAGGAUAUAGUUAGAGAUGACUAUUCCCCGUUUGGGGUCUGUAUACAGGUGCUGCAUGGUUGUCGUCAGCUCGUGCCGUGAGGUGUUGGGUUAAGUCCCGCAACGAGCGCAACCCUUAUUGUCUGUUACCAGCAUGUAAAGAUGGGGACUCAGACGAGACUGCCGGUGAUAAGCCGGAGGAAGGUGAGGAUGACGUCAAAUCAUCAUGGCCCUUAUGUCCUGGGCUACACACGUGCUACAAUGGCCUGUACAAAGCGAUGCGAAACAGUGAUGUGAAGCAAAACGCAGAAAGCAGGUCUCAGUCCAGAUUGAAGUCUGAAACUCGGCUUCAUGAAGUUGGAAUCGCUAGUAAU
RNAcentral lists this ribosomal RNA (1193 nucleotides) under Borrelia miyamotoi. RNAcentral's name for it is "bacterial SSU rRNA". It matches the Rfam family "Bacterial small subunit ribosomal RNA", at positions 159 to 1342 of the family's 1533-position model. Lineage: Bacteria; Pseudomonadati; Spirochaetota; Spirochaetia; Spirochaetales; Borreliaceae. The record is from RNAcentral.